CACACUCUCGAGCUUUCCUUCUCGACCAUGUGAGAUAUGCUAGAAAGGUAAAGCACUAAGACUUCCAGUGCAAAACAAAGAUUGGACGUUAUUAACAAACUGCAUACGAAAAAGUCUGUUCCACAUCAACCUUUCUUAAUCCUCUCUCUCUCUCUUAUCUUUUUGUUAUUAUUCAAUGGACUAAUGAACUUGGAGUGCAUGUUGAGCCAAGGAGAUGGACCCAACACCCUCUCUUGGCAGUGAAAGGAUGUGGCAUUGGGUCCUGUGGGGAAUGGG
This 276-nucleotide long non-coding RNA is filed under the name Phoenix dactylifera (date palm). Its description in RNAcentral is "long non-coding RNA (PDAC_LNC010773)". The record is from RNAcentral. Lineage: Eukaryota; Viridiplantae; Streptophyta; Magnoliopsida; Arecales; Arecaceae.